This is a long non-coding RNA of Salvia splendens (bonfire salvia), 645 nucleotides long. RefSeq lists it as uncharacterized. The transcript is spliced from 2 exons. Lineage: Eukaryota; Viridiplantae; Streptophyta; Magnoliopsida; Lamiales; Lamiaceae. The record is from RefSeq and is a predicted model, not a curated record.
AGUAAAAUAAGAUCUUGAGUUCCUAGCAUCAAGACAAAAACAAAUUCUUGAUUCUCAAAUUUUAACAUAAAAUUACAAAAGUAGAACUCUUAUAAAUUAUAAAAUUUUAAAAUUGUUGGCCCCCUAACCACCAUGUUUCUUCAACUUGCACACACACACAUAUAUAUAAGCAUGGUUGCUCGUAAUAACUUCAGCUUGCAUAUAUAAACAUUAGAUUUUCUAUAAAUCCAAAAAAAAUGGUUCAAACAAGAAUCGAAAUUAUGGCUCUUUUAUUAUUGAUGGCUCUUCUAAUUUCCUCACAAGUUGCAGACGCUCGAGUUUCAUAUAAAGAAGGUGAGAAGAUGAUGAGAAGCUCUGCACGUUAUCGCUGCCCCCAUGGAUGUUGUAAUAAUAUUGGUGCUGUUGCGGAUGCUGAUGCCGGUGCUGGUGCUGGUGCUCCUCGAACAGCUGUAGCAGCCGGGCCUCCCCCGUAUUGUCGCUGCUGCCUGUAGCCCAACAAUAGCCCUAGUAUAUUAGCUUGAUGUAUUUUUUAUGUAAAAUUAAGGUGUUCAAAAAAAUAAAUACUACUCCAUAAAGGAAAGGAAAGUAAGUUCAUGUAUUUCUAACUGUUCAAUUUAUUUUUGAAAUUAAUGAGCUGUUGCCUGA